CACCCUCCCUGCGCGUGCGCGCGGGCUUCCCGCCACCGGUUGCCAUGGUGACGCCCCCUGAGGCGGGCCCGGCCCCCGCCCCGGGCAGCCCUGAGGCGGCCGCCGGGGGCGGACGAGCGCUGGGGAAUCGGCGGCGGGCCCGGCCUCCGCCCGGGGCUCUGGUGGCGAGAGCUGGCCAAGAGGCAGAGGGAGGUUUAGUGGCAACAGAAAGCACUGUGGCUGACUGUCAACUACAUUACUAUCAGUUUUCUCCAAAAACAAGGGCAUUUCAAGGCCUGCAGCUAUUCCUAAGGCAACAAGGACAUGGUUGCUGCAGCAAGCUCUAUUCACUAUUGCACCAAACAUCAUUGAGAAGAUGCAGCCAGUCAGAGGGAACCAAAGCAGCUCUCCCAAAAUCAGGCAGCUGAUCAGAGACACUGUGAUUCUCUGUGUGGACCUACUGGACUUUUGCUAGCAAUGUUUUAAUAAUUCGCUUUUUCUCCCAACCAUGGCACUGGUCUGUACCACAGGUGACCGGAUGACCACUUCCCAGGCAGGGAGAGCUGGCUGUCCUGCCUCGAUGCAGGGAGGUGGAAGAGAACAGUUUUCUGCAGAACUUCAGCCAGAAAGAGGUGGCUAAAAAGCGCUUGGAGCAAUGACACGGGACGGGGAGGAUGUUCUGGGCUGGUGGGGACUCAAAAACCAAAGAGGCAAUGAAAGCACAGUAUGGCAGAAGCAAAGCUACUUUGACAGAUAUGCCUAAAGCACAUGCAUAGGGCCAACAGUGCUUUAAACUCUAGUAUGAAAACCUUGGCUUGAUUUAAUAUGUGCUUUGGUACUCUCCUGUGAACUACAACCCUGUAGGUGCAGGCAGAGCCCUGAAAUAGGGACACUUCUGAUGCAGGUUGCAAAAGACAGGAUAUUUACUAUCACUCGUUGGUGCUGAGUUUCUCUGCAGAAAACUACUAUUAUGGAACUUGUGGGCACUGUUGUCAGUUCUAAAAUAUUUUUAAAAGUAACUGCUUGAAGUCAUCAUGCAAUUGUAUUUACAGUAACCAUGUGAACCUGCGCAUCUAUAUCUAUGCAUACACGUUACAGAUUAUAUAUGUGUAUGUACCUUUACCCCCACAUUCAGCAUUUCUCAAAAUGUGUUUCACUUUGCUGUCUGCUGAGUCUGACGGGCAAACGCACAGCUCUGUGUUAAGGCUUGUAAUGCUGGUGGCUCUUUGGCAGCUUCAGAUGAACUUUUUAAAGCUUUCAGUACAAAUUGGUUCAAUCUAGGUCAACAGUGAUCAGAGAAAUAGCCAUGAGGGCCAAUUCCAAUGGCAGUGGGGGAAGGACUGAGUAAAGUUUACUUUUUGAAUUAAAGUUAUUACAUUAAUCUGUCCUUCAUGGAAUCUCAUGGACUUGGGCCAUGCUCAUCAACAAAGCUCACCACAAUUCUCAGUGCACAAUACUGAGUCUUUUGAAAGGGCAAAGUAAGCAGCAGUACAGCACUUACCUCCAGAGCAGUUAUUUUUUGCAGUUAUUAAGUGUCAGUUUUGGGAUGGUGCAUGCCUCCAUACCAAUCUCUUCUUUUAAGCCUGCUCAAAAUAUGCACAUUUCCAUUUGGUAAAUCACACAGCACCAAUUAGAGUGUGCACUUCAAAUUGACUUGUUAUUAACCAAAAUUUGUCUGGUUCUCCUGAAAAGUAAAAUCAAAUAAAAUUUCCAAGGAGAAUCA
Long non-coding RNA from Anser cygnoides (Swan goose), 1702 nucleotides. The record is from Ensembl. Lineage: Eukaryota; Metazoa; Chordata; Aves; Anseriformes; Anatidae.